This 299-nucleotide unclassified non-coding RNA is filed under the name plant metagenome. RNAcentral describes it as "partial contains small subunit ribosomal RNA, internal transcribed spacer 1, and 5.8S ribosomal RNA". The record is from RNAcentral.
UUUCCGUAGGUGAACCUGCGGAAGGAUCAUUAUCGAAUUUCGAGGGGAAGGAAGAUGAGGAGUGGAGACUGUCGCUGGCUUUCCCGCCUGGGAAGCAUGUGCACGCCUUGCUUUUCGAUGACCUUUCUCUUACUCUCACACCUGUGCACCCAUUGUAGGUCCUCGAAAGAGGAUCUAUGUUUUUAUCAUCACACGCAUCGUAUGUCCAUAGAAUGUAACAUGAUCGUCGAUCGACCUCGCGGUCGGGUGGCGGUCUAAAUAAAUAAAUACAACUUUCAGCAACGGAUCUCUUGGCUCUC